UGCUGGCACGGAAUUAGCCGUCCCUUUCUGGUUAAGUACCGUCACAGUAUGAACUUUCCAUUCUCACACUCGUUCUUCCUUAACAACAGAGCUUUACGAUCCGAAAACCUUCUUCACUCACGCGGCGUUGCUCGGUCAGGGUUCCCCCCAUUGCCGAAGAUUCCCUACUGCUGCCUCCCGUAGGAGUCUGGGCCGUGUCUCAGUCCCAGUGUGGCCGAUCACCCUCUCAGGUCGGCUAUGUAUCGUCGCCUAGGUGAGCCGUUACCUCACCUACUAGCUAAUACAACGCAGGUCCAUCUGGUAGUGAUGCAUUUGCACCUUUUAAACAUCUACCAUGCAGUAAAUGUUCUUAUGCGGUAUUAGCUAUCGUUUCCAAUAGUUAUCCCCCGCUACCAGGCAGGUUACCUACGCGUUACUCACCCGUUCGCAACUCACAGAAUACGGUGUAGUAAACUACGGUGCAUCCUGUGCGUUCUACUUGCAUGUAUUAGGCACGCCGCCAGCGUUCGUCCUGAGCCAGGAUCAAACCCUG
Molecule: ribosomal RNA, 532 nt
Filed under: uncultured bacterium
Lineage: Bacteria
Description: partial 16S ribosomal RNA
Source: RNAcentral